This 402-nucleotide ribosomal RNA is filed under the name uncultured bacterium. RNAcentral describes it as "bacterial SSU rRNA". It matches the Rfam family "Bacterial small subunit ribosomal RNA", at positions 355 to 774 of the family's 1533-position model. The record is from RNAcentral.
UGGGGAAUAUUGGACAAUGGGCGCAAGCCUGAUCCAGCCAUGCCGCGUGAGUGACGAAGGCCUUAGGGUUGUAAAGCUCUUUUGGCGGGGAAGAUAAUGACGGUACCCGCAGAAUAAGCUCCGGCUAACUUCGUGCCAGCAGCCGCGGUAAUACGAAGGGAGCUAGCGUUGUUCGGAAUCACUGGGCGUAAAGCGCACGUAGGCGGACUUUCAAGUCAGUGGUGAAAUCCUGGAGCUCAACUCCAGAACUGCCUUCGAUACUGGGAGUCUUGAGUUCGGGAGAGGUGAGUGGAACUGCGAGUGUAGAGGUGAAAUUCGUAGAUAUUGGGAAGAACACCAGAGGCGAAGGCGGCUCACUGGCCCGUUACUGACGCUCAGGCGCGAUAGCGUGGGGAUCAAACA